This is a small nuclear RNA of Bos grunniens (domestic yak), 107 nucleotides long. The record is from Ensembl. Lineage: Eukaryota; Metazoa; Chordata; Mammalia; Artiodactyla; Bovidae.
GUGCUCGCUUUGGCGGCACAUAUAUUAAAAUUGGAAUGAUACAGAAAAGGUUAGCAUGGCCCCUGCACAAGGAUGACACUCAAAUUCGUGAAGUGUUUCGUAUUUUU